RNAcentral lists this small RNA (211 nucleotides) under Lachnoclostridium sp. An14. Its description in RNAcentral is "Streptococcus sRNA SpF66". It matches the Rfam family "Streptococcus sRNA SpF66". The record is from Rfam by way of RNAcentral. Lineage: Bacteria; Bacillati; Bacillota; Clostridia; Lachnospirales; Lachnospiraceae.
GUUACCGCCCCGAUACUGGCAACAGGAAGGGGGUGUACAUAUGGAGAUCAUCUUAUCCUUUAUCGUCGCUGUCGCGGCUGGUGUAGCCUGCCACUACAUCAUCAAAUGGCUGGAUGGCGACAAAUAACCGGUAACCAGCCUGUAGAUGUCUGACUACUUAAAACAGGAAAAAGCCCAGGAGCUCGCACCUCCUGGGCUUUUGCUGUGUAUC